UGUAGUUCUUGGGUGACACACCCCAGAAUCGGGCUCCCCAUUCUCUGAUUCCGUGUGCUUCACCUUAGAACCGCA
This is a non-coding RNA of Myotis brandtii (Brandt's bat), 75 nucleotides long. Lineage: Eukaryota; Metazoa; Chordata; Mammalia; Chiroptera; Vespertilionidae. The record is from Rfam.